Molecule: long non-coding RNA, 660 nt
Organism: Meriones unguiculatus (Mongolian gerbil)
Lineage: Eukaryota; Metazoa; Chordata; Mammalia; Rodentia; Muridae
Exons: 3
Source: RefSeq, a predicted model, not a curated record
CCUUGUGCACGAGAAUGCACUCCACCACCAAGUUCCAUAACCGGCACUGGAGCAGGAGCCUUUGAGCAAGAUCUGCAAACGCUUGGCACAGAACCAACCUCCGCUGACCACUCUUGAGUUAUCGAGGCCAGGCUGGUGGAGAAGAACGCUGACGCGGGGCUUCAGAGGAGGAACGCUUAUGCAAGGGAAGAGAUCUGAUCCUUACCUCCGGUUUUCCAUAUGGGCAGAAGCUGGCUCAGUAACAGGGCUGCGGCCUUCUCAUUCACCCUCAGGAUCUGAAAUCAGAGUAAAUAAGGCACAGAAGAGAAGACAUAUAUCCAGUUUGGCGUUCUCACAUCAGGGAACAUACAGUGUAGGAUGUGUGCGAUGCUUCUGCCAAGGGAACUUUGUUGAGGCAUUUGUGGGGACAAGGGGAACACCUUGAAGGUCAGUACUAAAGGGAUCGAGUUGAUGACUCUAAGGGUUGAGGAUGCUGGUCUGGGAUACCUUUCCUUGUUUCCAAAGAUACCAGCUCCAUCUGGACCACAGCAGACAUCAUCAGGGGAACCCGGGAAAGGCUGAGUUUCAGGAUUAUAGCCUGUGGAGAAAGUGAGGCUCGGGGAGUCUGAACUCCUGGCCAUGUCCCGCGUUGAUGACCUUAUGAUGGGGCGGCACGUGUGC